UGUGGUAAACAUCAUCCACAUGGGUCAAAUCCGCAAGAAAAGACGUCAUACAAUUGUCGACGAAGAUAGCCGAAGCUGUGGAAUAUCCGUUCUUGGCGUGAUCUCUGGGGAAGAGCUGGACGAACCCAUCGACACCGCUCCAGUCUCCGGUGAAUCCACCUCUCCAGUCGUCUACGUUCCAGACGAUCCGGCAGUGGUCUCUGAAUAGAAUAAUAGCGCAGUGUGUGUCGGAAAAGAAAAACCAUCAACUUCCAAAGGUUUACUUCCAACACCGCUUUUUCCACCACGUACUUUCGUUAAUCAUGAAUCUCGACCAAAUAAGAUGAAUGCGCCAAAAGAAAAAGGGGCUCUCCGGCAAAUGGAUUCUGGAAACGUCAUCCUCUAAUCUCACCUGGUAGGGCGAUUUUCUAAUUCAAAUUUUUCAUUUCGUGUUCUUCUCCUUUAUACACUGCUGUUCAUCAAACAGGUACAUCACUU
Molecule: long non-coding RNA, 477 nt
Organism: Daphnia pulicaria
Lineage: Eukaryota; Metazoa; Arthropoda; Branchiopoda; Diplostraca; Daphniidae
Exons: 4
Source: RefSeq, a predicted model, not a curated record